UGGGGAAUAUUGCACAAUGGGCGAAAGCCUGAUGCAGCGACGCCGCGUGCGGGAUGAAGGCCUUCGGGUUGUAAACCGCUUUUGAUUGGGAGCAAGCGAGAGUGAGUGUACCUUUCGAAUAAGCACCGGCUAACUACGUGCCAGCAGCCGCGGUAAUACGUAGGGUGCAAGCGUUAUCCGGAAUUAUUGGGCGUAAAGAGCUCGUAGGCGGUUUGUCGCGUCUGGUGUGAAAGUCCAUCGCUUAACGGUGGAUCUGCGCCGGGUACGGGCAGGCUAGAGUGCGACAGGGGAGACUGGAAUUCCCGGUGUAACGGUGGAAUGUGUAGAUAUCGGGAAGAACACCAAUGGCGAAGGCAGGUCUCUGGGUCGUCACUGACGCUGAGGAGCGAAAGCGUGGGGAGCGAACAGGAUUAGAUACCCUGGUAGUCCACGCCGUAAACGGUGGAUGCUGGAUGUGGGGCCCCAUUCCACGGGUUCCGUGUCGGAGCUAACGCGUUAAGCAUCCCGCCUGGGGAGUACGGCCGCAAGGCU
Molecule: ribosomal RNA, 531 nt
Filed under: uncultured bacterium
Lineage: Bacteria
Description: partial 16S ribosomal RNA
Rfam family: Bacterial small subunit ribosomal RNA
Source: RNAcentral